This 374-nucleotide unclassified non-coding RNA is filed under the name Libinhania nimmoana. RNAcentral's name for it is "partial external transcribed spacer". The record is from RNAcentral. Lineage: Eukaryota; Viridiplantae; Streptophyta; Magnoliopsida; Asterales; Asteraceae.
CGUAAAGGUGCAUGAGUGGUGUUUGGUUUGUUACGGGUGGUUGGCUCUUUGCUUGCGCAACAACUUCUACCCGGCAUACCUCUUCAGUCUUGUGUCAAUGCUUGUAUUGCAUUGAAUGCACGACGGGUUUCUUGUGUUGCAUGCCUAAUUAAUGGUAUCGUUUGACAAAUUGGUUUUCCUUUUUAUCUUGUGUCGCCUAUGCGAUGUGAGAUGAACCUUGAAGCAGCCUUUGUGAUCCACUAUUUUGAUGCAAAGCAUUGAUUUUGUGGCCCAUUGAGUGUUGUUCGGUCUCAUGGAUAUGGAACCUGGUGUGGGCAUGGAAUCUUUAAUGGUUCCUUGUUUGCCCAAGUUUAGCUUUUCUAAAACGAUUGUCU